UUUAGACGGAGAGUUUGAUCCUGGCUCAGGGUUAACGCUGGCGGCGCGCAUAACACAUGCAAGUCGAGCGAGGGCUUAUCUCCCGCAAGGGAGGUGAGUUCCUAGCGGCGAACGGGUGAG
Molecule: ribosomal RNA, 120 nt
Filed under: Chloroflexota bacterium
Lineage: Bacteria; Bacillati; Chloroflexota
Description: Chloroflexi bacterium partial 16S ribosomal RNA
Rfam family: Bacterial small subunit ribosomal RNA
Source: RNAcentral